CAUGUACUCCCUCCGUCCAACCAAAGAUGUCUCAAGUUUGUCAAAAUUUGAAUGUAUCUAGACAUGAUUCAGUGUAUAGAUGCAUUCAAAUUUAAUCAAAGUUGAGACAUCCUUUGUUGGACGGAGGGAGUAUGAU
Molecule: non-coding RNA, 136 nt
Organism: Brachypodium distachyon (stiff brome)
Lineage: Eukaryota; Viridiplantae; Streptophyta; Magnoliopsida; Poales; Poaceae
Source: Rfam